ACGGUCUGGAAAGUCCGACGGUACAGGGUGAUAGUCCCGUACACCAAAAUGCACAGGUUGUGAACUCGAAGAGUAGGGCGGGACACGUGGUAUCCUGUCUGAAUAUGGGGGGACCAUCCUCCAAGGCUAAAUACUCCUGACUGACCGAUAGUGAACCAGUACCGUGAGGGAAAGGCGAAAAGAACCCCGGCGAGGGGAGUGAAAAAGAACCUGAAACCGUGUACGUACAAGCAGUGGGAGCACCUUCGGGUGUGACUGCGUACCUUUUGUAUAAUGGGUCAGCGACUUAUAUUCUGUAGCAAGGUUAACCGUAUAGGGGAGCCGCAGGGAAACCGAGUCUUAACUGGGCGUUAAGUUGCAGGGUAUAGACCCGAAACCCGGUGAUCUAGCCAUGGGCAGGUUGAAGGUUGGGUAACACUAACUGGAGGACCGAACCGACUAAUGUUGAAAAAUUAGCGGAUGACUUGUGGCUGGGGGUGAAAGGCCAAUCAAACCGGGAGAUAGCUGGUUCUCCCCGAAAGCU
RNAcentral lists this ribosomal RNA (523 nucleotides) under Klebsiella pneumoniae. RNAcentral describes it as "partial 23S ribosomal RNA". It matches the Rfam family "Bacterial large subunit ribosomal RNA", at positions 337 to 867 of the family's 2925-position model. RNAcentral also lists the same sequence under 1 other name. Lineage: Bacteria; Pseudomonadati; Pseudomonadota; Gammaproteobacteria; Enterobacterales; Enterobacteriaceae. The record is from RNAcentral.